GGCAGAUGCUACUCCAGGUAACACCCUCGUCUUAAAGUUUCAGAGCUUAAACGCAAGCGGCUGCAAAAAUACCGCAGAGAGUGGGAGGAAACAAAUACUUGGCUGCAGAGUGUUAGCGGAAAUUGUUAUCAAGCCUACUGCACAAUUUGUCGGAGAGCGUUCUGUAGGGUUGCCACCCGUCCUUUAAAAUACGGAAUCGGCCCGUAUUUGAGAAUGAAAUUGCGCGUCCCUUAUUUUUUUGUAUUAAAAGUGGUAACCCUAGGUCCACUACCCUCACCUGGAAAUACAGAAAGCAGUUUGAUGAAUUCUUCACAAUUUCCUCGAUAUUUUCUAAGAAAACACUUCAAACAACAAGAAAACCUCCGAGUUUUCAGAUUUUAAUAGGAUGUGGAAACAAACUAGUUGAACCCACAUUGUCUGAAACACAGCAACUUAAUAGUCUGAUGAUACAUAAAGUGUUUCACCAGGAAGCUAUUUACAUCAGACCUUCAAAGGCAUUGAUUGAAUGUACUACAUGCAGCGAAAAUGAGGAUAUCAUGGUAGACUCAGAAAACUGCAUAACCAGUACACCACAGUCUAAACCGGAAAGCAAAACACAUUCUGGGCAAAGAGUUGUAAAUGAAGUUGUUUAUAUUUCAGAUUCCCAGUAUACACAUUCAAGACAGUGACAAAAUAACCUUAACAAUCAGUGAUGCUGCAUUGCCUGAACCAACAAUUUUGCAUCAAAAAUCUUCAGCUGCAUCAAACAUCAAUUGUAGUAUUGCAGUUUGUUCAGAAAUAAGUGGAGGCCAUUCAACAAAUAUUGGUCAUGAUCCAGUUUUUAUCUUAUCCUCCAGCACUACAUCCUAUACUGAAGAGCCACAAGAUUCAACAAUUAUUUCUGAAAAUGUGCACACUUUGAUGGUUGAACAUGUUUAUGCAAACUACGUCUAGUGGUUACCAGAUGAUGAUGACAGCUCUGUGAAUUCAGAUGACAUCAAUGUAGCUAUAAAUGCCAGCUUGGGAGACCAAAUGAUGAGUAAUCAAGUGGAAAAGACAGCUUGUGAUAGUCUCCAAGAAUUGGCUCAAAAGAUCACUACGUGCUCAACGUCAAAGCUACAUAUAAAUCGUCAUAAUGUAUGGGAUGGGGCCAUAAGAGGGUUAGAAGAAAAACAUUUAGUCCAUACAACAGCCUUUGUGUAAAAUUCUCUGAUGAUUUUGGAAAAUCGGAGGAGGCCAUUGACCUUGGUGGGCCAAGAAGAGAAUUUCUACAACUUCUUAUGGAUCAUCUAGAA
This is a long non-coding RNA of Polypterus senegalus (gray bichir), 1274 nucleotides long. RefSeq lists it as uncharacterized. NCBI's taxonomy places the organism in Eukaryota, Metazoa, Chordata, Cladistia, Polypteriformes, Polypteridae. The record is from RefSeq and is a predicted model, not a curated record. The transcript is spliced from 4 exons.